This 255-nucleotide long non-coding RNA is filed under the name Canis lupus familiaris (dog). RNAcentral describes it as "lncRNA (ENSCAFG00030013751.1)". Lineage: Eukaryota; Metazoa; Chordata; Mammalia; Carnivora; Canidae. The record is from RNAcentral.
GAGGCUACGUUCGUCCUUGUCAGAGGUCGGCUGUGUGCCUCCUCACAACCUAGCUGUGCCAUCUCCAAAAUGCGAUAAGGACCGGUAUUUGCUCAGGCAGUGGCUCCAGAUACCAGUUAAUGUACACCCGGUGCAUUCAAGGCUGUAGAACUGGAACACAGGGCGCUAAACCUACCCGGAGAAGACUGUAAACAGUAAGUGCAAAAAUUAUGUGUGGAAUUCUAUACACCGUUGAAAUACGAGAUCCAGCUUUGA